AGUGAACGCUGGCGGUAGGCCUAACACAUGCAAGUCGAACGGCAGCACAGUAAGAGCUUGCUCUUACGGGUGGCGAGUGGCGGACGGGUGAGGAAUACAUCGGAAUCUACUUUUUCGUGGGGAUAACGUAGGGAAACUUACGCUAAUACCGCAUACGACCUACGGGUGAAAGCAGGGGAUCUUCGGACCUUGCGCGAUUGAAUGAGCCGAUGUCGGAUUAGCUAGUUGGCGGGGUAAAGGCCCACCAAGGCGACGAUCCGUAGCUGGUCUGAGAGGAUGAUCAGCCACACUGGAACUGAGACACGGUCCAGACUCCUACGGGAGGCAGCAGUGGGGAAUAUUGGACAAUGGGCGCAAGCCUGAUCCAGCCAUACCGCGUGGGUGAAGAAGGCCUUCGGGUUGUAAAGCCCUUUUGUUGGGAAAGAAAAGCAGCAGGUUAAUACCCCGCUGUUCUGGCGGUACCCAAAGAAUAAGCACCGGCUAACUUCGUG
This 491-nucleotide ribosomal RNA is filed under the name uncultured bacterium. RNAcentral describes it as "partial 16S ribosomal RNA". It matches the Rfam family "Bacterial small subunit ribosomal RNA", at positions 29 to 507 of the family's 1533-position model. The record is from RNAcentral.